UCAUGCCUCUCAGACCGCGGUUGGCAACGCCUAGCCAGCGUCGCGGCCACCGCACGCCCCUUUCCCACUGCCCUGUCCCCCAUAUCAGCACGCCAGUCACCACCCCGCCCAUCAAUGCCACUUUCUCGGCCAUCUCGAUCACCCAGUAGACGGAGCCGCCGACUCCGCGGCCAUCUUCGCGAGGGCGCAGGAAGAGCGCGUAGGAGAAAUAGGCGAUCCAGAGGGCGAGGAGGAGGAUGAAGAAGGUGUUUUGCUGCCGGCGGGCACGGAGGGCGAGGUACUGGGAGCGCAGGGAGGUUUCGAGGAUGAGCAGAUUUAGGUAGAUUUGCGGCGGGGAGGAGGGCAGGGUGGAGAGGGGGUCUGGAGCAACGGUGAGAGGGCUGGGAGGAUCUUCUUGGGACGGAUGUCCUUGUUGCUGCUGCUGCUGCUGCUGCUGCUGAAAGUGGUAUUGGGAUUCAAGAGGCGGGGAUGAGGUGCUGGUCGGGGACGGGGACAGGGACAGGGCGGUGGUGCUUGGAGCGCCCUUGAUAACUUGGUCGAGGCGGGAUGACAUAUUUAGCUGGGGUUAUGUAUUAACAGACGAGUGGGGACGCAUAGCUAGCGAUCGAUGAUGGUAUUAGGUAUUACGGCGG
Molecule: small RNA, 632 nt
Filed under: Histoplasma capsulatum var. duboisii H88
Lineage: Eukaryota; Fungi; Ascomycota; Eurotiomycetes; Onygenales; Ajellomycetaceae
Description: Histoplasma capsulatum H88 hypothetical RNA
Source: RNAcentral